Molecule: long non-coding RNA, 5128 nt
Organism: Nematostella vectensis (starlet sea anemone)
Lineage: Eukaryota; Metazoa; Cnidaria; Anthozoa; Actiniaria; Edwardsiidae
Exons: 4
Source: RefSeq, a predicted model, not a curated record
ACGUGACAACUAGUAAAAAUAUAUACUUACUCGUUUCGAGUAACAAAAAGCAUGUGAUAUAGCUCUAGAGUAUACACGACAUGGGAAAAGGGGGGAGUUUCGCAAUUGCAGAACAUGUUAUCGAAGCGAAACUCAGAGUAUGUGAUUUUGUACUUACGGAGCUCCAUUGGCCUACACUCCAUGUGGGGCAUUCCAUAACGUCGCAUUCCUUGUAUGCGUCCGGCUUAUCCUCUGGAUUACAAGUUCCAUCCCGCGGCUUGCAGGACACGAAGCGCGUUCGUACCCCACUGCCACAUGUCGAGGAGCACUCACUCCACGCUCCAGCAGUCCACCUAGGACAUUCCCCCUUUUCGCACCUGGCUACGUGUGGCGGUUUUUGUGACUCGUUACAGGUAAUGUUGUCUGAAGUGCAGGUGACUGUUCUCCGUUUGACACCAGCGCCACAAGUGACGGAACACUGCAAAACAUCUAGUAUUGGUAUGGUGCUAUUACAAACAUCUAGUAUUGGUAUGGUGCUAUUACAAAACAUCUAGUAUUGGUAUGGUGCUAUUACAAAACAUCUAGUAUUGGUAUGGUGCUAUUACAAAACAUCUAGUAUUGGUAUUGUGCUAUUACAAAACAUCUAGUAUCGAAAUUGUGCUAUUACGAAACUUCUAGUAUUGUUUUUGUGGGCUGCCCUGUUCGGGCGAAUGGUCUCUCGCAUAUAAAGGUUUGGUUAGACAUGUUUCCGAUUUUAGCAAGCCCCCAAGACAAUCGGAUAUUUACGACAUUUUCGUGUUGCCAGCUAAAUUUCAUCACGUACUACACGUGUUCAAAGGUGGCGUGCCUUAGUUUGCCGGGACUAACAAGCGCUAAUAAGCUAAUAGACUAAUAAUAGUUAAUAAUAGUUAAUUCAAUUCCAUAUCUCCAAACUGAUCACUCCUCUUGUUGCCAAUAUUUUUGACAAAUCAGCGCUCACCUGUUCCCAAGGCCCAGCGGCCCACUCCGGACAGGCCGAUCGAUUGCACUGCUGCGUGCUGUCCGGUUUAUUGUCCGGGUCACACGGUUUCCGCUGAGUGUCACAUCUCACCGGACGAGACUGCAAGCCCACGCCGCACGUCACGGAGCACUGUGGGGGCAAGAGGACAUUUUGAAAUGUAUGAAACGAUGCUCAAUCUAGUCAGGAGUUGCUGUCUGGGCAUGGUAACAUACCAUACGCCACGCACUCCUGCGGUGUCGGACCCGAAUAAUUCACUCGGAUUUGGCACAUGAACAGCAGAAUUAAUUGGGAACAGCGGAUAUCAAGACUUCGCCUUUCGUGCAAAAGGAUGACACCGAUAAAAACACCGAUAAAUUUCUAUCAACAACAUGUUUAUGGGUGCAAAAUAGGAGGGCUGACAUCUUACCUCUUCCCAAGGCCCCACGGUCCAUGUGGGACACCUUUGCCCGUUACAGCGCAUGCUCGACGGUGGUUUUCUGAGCGCACCACAUGCAUCAGGACUAGGAGAACACGUGACUGCCCUUGUUUUUGUCCCUCCCCCGCAGCUUACAGAGCACUAAGAGGCAACAAAAAUGCGCUCAAACAAACAUACAUACAAUGCACCAUACGUACAUACGAAUAAAGUUUAAUGUAUGCAGCUCCUGAAACAUUGCAUCUGUACCAGUAAGUAUGAGUUACCUCGCCCCAUUCUUGCGAGAGCCAGCUUGGACAGUCAGGGAGCUCGCACAGCUUGACUACUUCCGGUUUAGUGUCGUCCUGACAACGAUUGCCUCCGGCACUGCACGUGACCACACGUCUGACGACACCCUCGCCACAGGUUACAGAGCACUGUCAAGAUAUAGGUGAAGACAUAAAUUUAGCUGUUAAACUGUUGGUACAUACAUAAUUAAAGAAGGAUAGUCAGCCACACAUUUGUUAUUGUUUUCAUCCAAUAUCGGAGGACAAAUAAUGCAAAGAAAUCUCAAAAUCAACAUCUGUAUUCAACACAUUCUCAAAUGAAAUAUCGCAAUAGUUUUUGUAAUCAUCACAGUGUCCGCUUAAAAGUGAACUCUUCGUUUUACUUGAGAAGUCAUCGUUAUCUAAACGCUACAGGCCUGCCUCCCUCGCCUAAAAAUGUCCUUAUAACUAGAAAACAAUGUACACAAUUGUUUUGUUUUCAGGAGGUACUUCUCCAAGCAAAGUCCACUUAAGCAGCAUACGACAAGUUGAUAAUAAUCCCUUCAUUAAGCCUUUACUGACCUUUUCCCACGGCCCCACUCUCCACACGGGACACGCCCCAAGAUUACAUUUCCUUUGACGCUGUGGCAUAGACUUGGCGUUACAUCUGUCGUCACGCGUGCUACAUGUCACAUCACGCGUCUGUACCCCGUCACCACACGUCACGGAACACUAGCCUCCCUACCUCACUCCAAGAGCCUGGGACCCAGACUGGACACGUCCCGGCGCUACAUCGUCUGACAUCACUGGGUCGGGUGCGUCGGUCACAGUGCUUGCGAUGCUGGGAUUGGCAUUGGACCAAUCGACGCUGAACACCCUCACCACAGCUCACAGAACACUGAAUUAUAACAGCAUACUUUGAUUAGACAAAGCAAAUGCUUAUAAAGAUCUUUCACUAUGGUAAAUGAAUGUGUGCAUACAUAAAUUAGAAUAAAAAUGUUCACAAUAACCUUUCACUAUGGGAAAUGACUGAGGGCGGAUAAAGCGUAAGAGAGCAACUGUUAGUUAGUUAAGGCCGAUUAAGCGGUCAUUUUACACUCGCUCAAGAUCGACUAACACAAAGCAUUCAUUUCCAUCGGCUAGUUACAGCGAGUAAGAUAAACAUUGUCACUGAAGGCUUCAAUUGUGGCUUCAAUUGUGCAAGGUUAAUUUGAAGUUUUCCUUCAAAUGUAAAUGGCAUUCGUUGAAGUAAUUAAGGGAAACAUGCCUUUCUCCAUGGUCCAGCGGUCCACGUAGGACAUUCCACCUUUCCACAGGGCUGUCUACUGUUGGGCUUGGUCUCCGCAUCACACUCUAGCUCAUCUGUACUGCACUUGACGGCGCGGGACUGGACACCACGUCCGCAACUGACGGAACACUUCAAAUAGUAAAACAAUUGUUAAAUGGCGUUGAUUCUUUGGGAAAAACGAUCGAAAUUCGGAAGACAUGGAUAACUUGGACAACGUGGAUGGCUGGUUUUAACUAUUUGGAUUUCCUUGGAUUGACUAACUUCGCAAUUUGAAUUUGUUUCGACUUGCUACUCUAUUGUGUGUUCAUUACCUGACUCCAUUGUUCACUUAUCCACCGUGGACAGGGGCGAAUAUUGCACUGGCGUCGAGAGGAUGGCUUUUUCUCAUCGCAUUUAUCCACACUGGAAGCCGUGCAGUAAACCGAGCGAGCCUGGAACCCGACACCACAAGUCUUGGAGCACUUCAGGCAAAAAAGGGGGAAUGUUAAUAACUGUUUUCCCAUUCGUGGGCGGCAAACGUUUUGUUGUGCACUUGAGUCAUUGAUGACACAUGUGUAUAGCCAUGACUACACAAAAUUGUAUGUGGGGACAAGCUUCAGUAAACCCUUCUAUUGGCCAGGCGGGGCUAGGCGCUUUUUUUUCCUGAUGCCGUUGUAAAUUAUCGGCAUUCUACUAGGGACAAGCGCCCCCUUCAGCUACUACUCCCCCAGUUCACCAAGUUACGUUAAUCGCAACGGACUUAUCACCUUUUCCCAAGGGCCGGACUUCCAGGUGGGGCAUUCUCCCAGUGCGCAUACUCGCACGCUGGCUGGCCGCGUGGCAUUGUCACAUUGGCUGCCAGCAGGCUCACACAAGACUUGCCUGGACGCUUUGCCAGAGCCACAUGUCACUGAGCACUGGAAAAAACACGUUAAAGUGAAGAAGUGACGAUUCUAAAAAACAUGCGCGGUCCGAGCCACAUGGGAAAAACACGUGAAAGCAAAGAAAUGAAACUUCUAACGAAUAAAAGUGGCUCAAGGCGAAAUAGAAUUGUCACGUCAUGGUACCUCGCUCCAGCGUCCAACAGUCCAUUCUGGGCACGCCUUUUUCGCGCAGGGUUGUAUUUCUGAUGGCUUGACUCUUAGAUCGCAAUUCCCUCCCUCGGGCAAACAAUAGACAUUCCUUCUUCUUUGGCCUCUACCACAGCUAACAGAGCACUAUUCGGCACAAGAAGAGAUUAGCAUCAAUCAACAAUCCCAAGAAUUUUAAACCCACUAUGAUCCCAUAGAAAAAACACACACAUAUACCUGACUCCAGGCUCCAACAUUCCACUCUGCGCAUGGCUGCAUGAGGCACGGACGAGAGUCAGAAGGCCUGUAUCUCGCCUCGCAGUUGCUUCCGGCCGGCACACACUCGACAAGUCUUCUGAUGUUUCCUCGACCACAUGUCACGGAGCACUAAGAGCAGAGUAUGUGAUAGAUAAGCCUUAUAGCGCAAAAGGCUGAGCUUAUCAUACGAGAACGUACGUAUCCGUACGUUUACUAUCGUGAACCACUGAAAUCCCCUACCUGGCUCCACUGUCCAGCAUUCCAUCUUGGACAGUCCUGUGAGUUACAUAUCCUUGUCGUGGGUGGUUUACUCAUUCGAUAGCAAGGUUGAUCACGUGAGCUGCACGUGACUGUCCUUGCGCUAAUACCACCACCGCAUGUACGAGAGCACUGAAGAAAACACAAGAAGUCAGCGGGUUUUUUUAUGCACCCUAGUACAACCGAGGCUAGAAAUUCUAGAAAAAAUACAAACAAGCUGUUCUCUGGAAAUCUUAUUUAUCUCUAUCUUUUCUAAGCGUUGUCAUACCUCGCUCCACUUUCCCACGGUCCAUUCAGGACAGGCUGGUAGUUGGCACUUCCUAGCCUCUGAAGGUUUUGGCUUUUUGCACUGACUUUGGUUCCCGGUGCUACAAACAACAGUGUGUAACUGGAUUCCCUCGCCACAUGUAACAGAACACUGAGAAAAGCCAAUAAAUUACACAGGGUCAUAAUCGUAGAGGAAAUAAACGUUAGUACCAGUGCUAGAAUUUACUAGCAAUCGUAAAGCCCCGUUCGAACAUCACAAGCAUUGAGAAUGCAGUGACAAGUACAGUACAAGUACAGACAUGGGUAUAGUAUUGGUAUGUGCUUUCCUGGUGCCGUAUUCCACGACCCAAUAGAUCACCGUCUCGAGACGAA